GUCCACGCCGUAAACUAUGCGUGUUGGACGUUGGCGAGCCUAGCUCGUCGGUGUCGCAGCUAACGCGUUAAACACGCCGCCUGGGGAGUACGGCCGCAAGGUUAAAACUCAAAGGAAUUGACGGGGGCCCGCACAAGCGGUGGAGCAUGUGGUUUAAUUCGAUGCAACGCGCAGAACCUUACCAGGCCUUGACAUGGGGGUUAUGGGUCGGAGAAAUCUGAUCCUUCAGUUCGGCUGGGCCCCACACAGGUGCUGCAUGGCUGUCGU
Molecule: ribosomal RNA, 267 nt
Filed under: uncultured bacterium
Lineage: Bacteria
Description: partial 16S ribosomal RNA
Rfam family: Bacterial small subunit ribosomal RNA
Source: RNAcentral